Molecule: ribosomal RNA, 420 nt
Filed under: bacterium
Lineage: Bacteria
Description: partial 16S ribosomal RNA
Rfam family: Bacterial small subunit ribosomal RNA
Source: RNAcentral
UGGGGGAUAUUGCACAAUGGGCGAAAGCCUGAUGCAGCGACGCCGCGUGGGGGAUGAAGGCUUUCGGGUUGUAAACCUCUUUCGCUAUCGAACACGGCCCGCUUAGGGUGGGUUGAGGGUAGGUGGAGAAGAAGCGCCGGCUAACUACGUGCCAGCAGCCGCGGUAAUACGUAGGGCGCGAGCGUUGUCCGGAAUUAUUGGGCGUAAAGGGCUUGUAGGCGGCUUGUUGCGCCUGCUGUGAAAACGCGGGGCUUAACUUCGCGCGUGCAGUGGGUACGGGCAGGCUUGAGUGUGGUAGGGGUGACUGGAAUUCCAGGUGUAGCGGUGGAAUGCGCAGAUAUCUGGAGGAACACCGAUGGCGAAGGCAGGUCACUGGGCCAUUACUGACGCUGAGGAGCGAAAGCAUGGGUAGCGAACAGG